CAGUCGAACGAAGCACUUUAUUUGAUUUCCUUCGGGACUGAUUAUUUUGUCACUGAGUGGCGGACGGGUGAGUAACGCGUGGGUAACCUGCCUUGUACAGGGGGAUAACAGUUGGAAACGGCUGCUAAUACCGCAUAAGCGCACAGCAUCGCAUGAUGCAGUGCGAAAAACUCCGGUGGUAUAAGAUGGACCCGCGUUGGAUUAGCUAGUUGGUGAGGUAACGGCCCACCAAGGCGACGAUCCAUAGCCGACCUGAGAGGGUGACCGGCCACAUUGGGACUGAGACACGGCCCAAACUCCUACGGGAGGCAGCAGUGGGGAAUAUUGCACAAUGGGGGAAACCCUGAUGCAGCGACGCCGCGUGAGUGAAGAAGUAUUUCGGUAUGUAAAGCUCUAUCAGCAGGGAAGUAAAUGACGGUACCUGACUAAGAAGCCCCGGCUAACUACGUGCCAGCAGCCGCGGUAAUACGUAGGGGGCAAGCGUUAUCCGGAUUUACUGGGUGUAAAGGGAGCGUAGACGGCAUGACAAGCCAGAUGUGAAAACCCAGGGCUCAACCCUGGGACUGCAUUUGGAACUGCCAGGCUGGAGUGCAGGAGAGGUAAGCGGAAUUCCUAGUGUAGCGGUGAAAUGCGUAGAUAUUAGGAGGAACACCAGUGGCGAAGGCGGCUUACUGGACUGUAACUGACGUUGAGGCUCGAAAGCGUGGGGAGCAAACAG
RNAcentral lists this ribosomal RNA (718 nucleotides) under uncultured bacterium. RNAcentral's name for it is "bacterial SSU rRNA". It matches the Rfam family "Bacterial small subunit ribosomal RNA", at positions 59 to 775 of the family's 1533-position model. The record is from RNAcentral.